RNAcentral lists this ribosomal RNA (524 nucleotides) under uncultured bacterium. Its description in RNAcentral is "bacterial SSU rRNA". It matches the Rfam family "Bacterial small subunit ribosomal RNA", at positions 1 to 524 of the family's 1533-position model. The record is from RNAcentral.
UAGAGUUUGAUCCUGGCUCAGAUUGAACGCUGGCGGCAUGCUUUACACAUGCAAGUCGAGCGGCAGCGCGGGGGCAACCCUGGCGGCGAGCGGCGAACGGGUGAGUAAUGCAUCGGAACGUAUCCCGCAGUGGGGGACAACCCAGCGAAAGCUGGGCUAAUACCGCAUAUGCUCUGUGGAGGAAAGUGGGGGACCCGCGAGGGCCUCACGCUGUGGGCGCGGCCGAUGUCCGAUUAGCUGGUUGGUGGGGUAACGGCUUACCAAGGCGACGAUCGGUAGCUGGUCUGAGAGGAUGAUCAGCCACACUGGGACUGAGACACGGCCCAGACUCCUACGGGAGGCAGCAGUGGGGAAUUUUGGACAAUGGGCGCAAGCCUGAUCCAGCCAUGCCGCGUGCGGGAAGAAGGCCUUCGGGUUGUAAACCGCUUUUGGCAGGAACGAAACGGCGCGGGUGAAUACCCCGCGUUAAUGACGGUACCUGCAGAAUAAGCACCGGCUAACUACGUGCCAGCAGCCCCGGUCAA